GGCCUGGUAGUUCAGUUGGUUAGAAUGCCAGCCUGUCACGCUGGAGGUCGAGGGUUCGANUCGCGGAUAGAUCACCA
RNAcentral lists this transfer RNA (77 nucleotides) under Clostridioides difficile. Its description in RNAcentral is "tRNA-Asp(gtc)". It matches the Rfam family "tRNA", at positions 1 to 61 of the family's 71-position model. From Rfam's summary of the family: Transfer RNA (tRNA) molecules are approximately 80 nucleotides in length. Their secondary structure includes four short double-helical elements and three loops (D, anti-codon, and T loops). Further hydrogen bonds mediate the characteristic L-shaped molecular structure. tRNAs have two regions of fundamental functional importance: the anti-codon, which is responsible for specific mRNA codon recognition, and the 3' end, to which the tRNAs corresponding amino acid is attached (by aminoacyl-tRNA synthetases). tRNAs cope with the degeneracy of the genetic code in two manners: having more than one tRNA (with a specific anti-codon) for a particular amino acid; and 'wobble' base-pairing, i.e. permitting non-standard base-pairing at the 3rd anti-codon position. Lineage: Bacteria; Bacillati; Bacillota; Clostridia; Peptostreptococcales; Peptostreptococcaceae. The record is from RNAcentral.